Molecule: long non-coding RNA, 2529 nt
Organism: Gorilla gorilla gorilla (western lowland gorilla)
Lineage: Eukaryota; Metazoa; Chordata; Mammalia; Primates; Hominidae
Exons: 3
Source: RefSeq, a predicted model, not a curated record
GCAGUCCUUCAUGAAACCACAGCAGAUGUUUCUCAGUCCUUUCAUUUUCUUUUUUCAGAGGAAUUGUAAUCGGCUGCGCUUUAAUUAGGAUCUCCCCAAGGAUACUUCGGCUUUCUUCCACACCCUGGAGUUUGCAGAUUCCCUCUUAGUGCACCAGGCUGAUUAGAUUUCUUAAUUCCCUAAAAUAUGCUGUCUUGAAGCCUAAUACCCUUGUAGGGAUGAGGUCUGUUUCUCUGCCUCUCCUCUCAUUACAGUGCUAAAUCCAGGCAGUGGUCUCCCUUACGGCACUUGCUUCUUCCCUGGCUCCGGACCCCUUUUUUGGAUGGCCUGCAAACCUUCUGACAAAGAAGCAGCCUUGAAAAGACAAAAUGGGUCCAGCAGGGAAUUAGACAGAAAAUAUUUACCGACUCGGUGAACCAAGAGCUGGGUGUUCCGGGCUGUUGAAGAAAAUGGAGUAAUGGGACAGAAGCUGCUUUCAACUUCCUGCUGGUAAAGAACAAGCCUGUGUCAACGAGAGACCGAAUAAGAAACCCUCAAGGAGGAGACGUGGGAGUUGCCUUCAUUCAUUGGAUAGAGUGCCACAGGACAGGAUGCUCUGAGAGGCCAGCACCACACCCUCUUGACCAUGCUGUAGCCAUAAAUGUUCCAGAGGCAUCUGAGAAAACCACUGCAGAAUACACAGAGCACAGCUGCAUUUUGUCUGCUCCACCUACAACAGGGUUUGCUCUACCCUGCCAUAUCACAGGCUCCUGAAAAGACCAACUCACAGCACCACAGGAUGUGAUUAAGCCUUGGAGAAGAUUAAUUACCCACUUUCUUAGGAGUCGGUCUCUCCUCCCCACUCACUCAAGUUCCUUUACCCCCCACUAAGCCUCUGAAAGAAUCUAACAUCAUAAACAAGGAUCUCAUUAGCAACUUGAAUUCGGGCUGCAGAUCUUUUGUGAAGAUUUGGUUACAGAUGCUGCUUUAACUUCUGAGGAUUAUUCUUCAGCAUCCAGAGAGACUCCAGUUGCUCUCCUGGGAAAUGUUCUGUCACUUGAAUAACUCAUCUGUUCACCCAUUGGCAUAACUGCUGCCAGUUCCAAGCACCUGAUGAGGAGUGGACCCAGAUUAGGCCUCUGGCAGGGCUACAAAGAACUCAUUUCAGUGUUGGACUUCCCAUUCCAUUUGCAUCUUCAGGGGAAGUUAAUGUCCCACUCAAGUUUCCCUCAGUUAGGGUGACAGGGAGAUGCAGUUCUUCAAAUGCUGUCCUCAAGUAGAGAGGGAGACCACAGAGCUCCGACUGGCUUGCCAGCCCAUGGAGCCAUUUUUUCUUUGGUGGUGGAUGCUCUCGGUGUGGCCUCUAGAGCUCCUUUCAUGUUCCUUUUCUCUCUGCAUUCCCACCGCUCUCCCCUCGGGUGCGUCCACAUCACCUCUCGCCUGGACCUCAGUCUGUCUCCUCUCUGCUAACCAAGGUGUCUUCACUUCUCUGCAGCUUUCACACGGCAGCCAGAUUAAUGUUCCUCAGUGCAGCUUUGAUCACACUACUGUGCCCAGACAAAACCUUUCAUGGCCCCCAGCUACCCAGUGAUCAAAGUCCAGGGUCAUCACUCCAGCAUUAAAGAGCCUCUGUAUUGUGGAUCCCAAAUCAUCACAUGCCCCACCUCCAUCACCCAUCUGUUCCACUCCCACCUACCUCAACCUCAGUUCUAGUCCUUCAAGCUGCAGGCAGCAGCUCAUUGAGAAGGUCAUGAAAUCAAUGAAGUAUGUGAUGAAAGCAUUUUAAAAUGAAAUUUAUAGCAAAAGAACAAAUAUGUAUAUGGCUUUCUAUAUAGCAGGCUCCAUUCCAAAUACUUUGCAUAGACUCACAUACUUCUCACACUGUCCCUAGGGAAAUAAGCACUCUUGCUAUCCCUGUUUUACAGAUAAGGACACAGACCCAGGGAGGUUAAAUAAGUUGCCCAAGGUGAUUAAUUCUGGCUUGAACCCAGACAGCCUUGUAUCAGAAGCCACACUCUGCUAUACUCCCCAUGAUGUACUAUAUGGAAUAAAACUAUAUUCUAGAUUUUGUAAAACCAUAUGGAACAGAAUAGAAAAUUUAGGGCAUUCUGUUUAUACAGUGGUAAAUGUUUCAUGAAGGUCUGUUGGAGAUAAAUAUAAAUGUAUACAUACAAGACUACAGUAGAAAAUGUGUAUUGUGCUGAGUACACAAGGUCAAGUGUUUGUCUUACUGUGGCUUGUGGUCAAAAACAUGUGAAACCUGUUGUUCUGGCUAAAACCAAGGAACUGCCAAUGAUCUCUCAUGCUUCUUUGCCUCUACAUCUUCACCCACACUGAUCCCAGCACUGGAAAUAUCUUUCCCCGUCGUUUCUCACCUGUAUCUCUGGUCCAAACAUGUCUUGUCCAUGGAGUCUUUCUUAAUACUUCUCUUUAUUCUGUCUUCUAAAUUAUAAGCUUCUUGAGGGCUUGGGUACAUACAUUUCACAAUCAGUUCUUGCUUCCUGACAAAGAAGGAAGCAUCUUCCAGGAGGCUUUUACUCCCAACCUACU